GCGGUUAUGGUGAAAUUGGUAGACACGCCAUCUUGAGGGGGUGGUGAGGCAGCUCGUGCGAGUUCGAGUCUCGCUAACCGCACCA
Molecule: transfer RNA, 85 nt
Filed under: Helicobacter sp. MIT 14-3879
Lineage: Bacteria; Pseudomonadati; Campylobacterota; Epsilonproteobacteria; Campylobacterales; Helicobacteraceae
Description: tRNA-Leu
Rfam family: tRNA
About the family: Transfer RNA (tRNA) molecules are approximately 80 nucleotides in length. Their secondary structure includes four short double-helical elements and three loops (D, anti-codon, and T loops).
Source: RNAcentral